This 255-nucleotide ribosomal RNA is filed under the name uncultured bacterium. RNAcentral describes it as "partial 16S ribosomal RNA". It matches the Rfam family "Bacterial small subunit ribosomal RNA", at positions 524 to 776 of the family's 1533-position model. The record is from RNAcentral.
UACGUAGGGCGCAAGCGUUGUCCGGAAUUAUUGGGCGUAAAGAGCUCGUAGGCGGUUUGUCGCGUCUGCUGUGAAAACCUAAGGCUCAACCUUGGGCUUGCAGUGGGUACGGGCAGACUAGAGUGCGGUAGGGGGUGACUGGAAUUCCUGGUGUAGCGGUGGAAUGCGCAGAUAUCGAGGAGGAACACCCGUGGCGAAGGCGGCUCUCUGGGACGGUACUGACGCUGAGACGCGAAAGCGUGGGGAGCAAACAGG